RNAcentral lists this long non-coding RNA (1132 nucleotides) under Populus trichocarpa (black cottonwood). RNAcentral's name for it is "long non-coding RNA (PTRI_LNC000952)". Lineage: Eukaryota; Viridiplantae; Streptophyta; Magnoliopsida; Malpighiales; Salicaceae. The record is from RNAcentral.
CGCUUCCACCGCCCAUGCCUGUGCCUCUACCGAGCAUGAUAGUUUAGUUUAGCUUGAAGUGUGUGUGGUGGAGAGAGUGAAGUGGUGUUUGGGAUUGGAUGGAGUAAGGAGUUUGUAUGUGAAUGUGUGCAGGUAAAGUUAUCUCGGCUGUCUAUCCCUUUAGAAUUUGAAUUUGUGGAGACUUUUUUAUGGAUGUCAUUGUGCUUGGUUGGGCAUUCCAUACGGCAAUAAACAAUGCCAAGUCUCCGUUUGUAUAUAUAUAUAUAUAUAUAUAUAUAUAUAUAUAUAUAUAAAAAGCUUCUGAAUUUUAUCUCUUUUACUUUAUUCUUCCUUUUAAAUGCUCCUUUCAAUCGUUACUGUUCAAGUCUUUUUCAGCUUCUUUAUGCGGGGAAGUCUUGUAAAGAUGGAAGUUGUUGGCUAUUAUUAGUUUGCACUCUUCCCUCUUUUUUUCGCUUUCUUUCUUUAUUUUUAGUGGGAAGUUAUUACUAACACACGCACACACUUUUCUCUCUCCCCACCCUCCACCUCAGCCGACUAGCCUCUCACCGCCAGCAGCACAGUCCACAAACCACCGAGAUAGCAUCCACCAAAUCCAAAUCAAAUAGCCCAGACCCAACAACCCUUCCUCCUUGGUUUUUUUAUCACCGACGACGAGCACAACCGGACCACCCACUACACAUGCAACAACUCGUCACAAUCCGGGAAUGCCCAUGCCGAAAGGAAGACUAGGAAUAGGAGCACCGGGCAGAGUGAUUUGCACGCCGCCACUGCUUCCCAUUGUUUCAACCUUUUCUGGGCCACCUCAUCCACUUCAAAAGAUCAAUUUCAACCCUGAUGCAUUGAUUUCUCUAUUUUGGAUCAUCUGUAUUACGUCUUUGGUUUAAGUGUGUUAAAUAACGUGCGUUGCAUUGGUUUCUUGUGUCGAAUGAUUUGUGCUUACGUUGUAGAUCUUACAUGGGAUGUUUUGAUUUUUAUAUGCAGGUCAUUUAAUUCUGUGAGAUGAUUUAUUAUUAUUUUUUUAUUCCAUGUGCGGAGUCGUUGAUUAUGAUUGGAUGCAGGCGAUAAUUCUCGUAGAUAAUCAGUUAUUUAUAUAUGAUAUUGAUUUUAUUUAUAUAAAUAUAUUUUAAAAAAA